Long non-coding RNA from Lotus japonicus, 953 nucleotides. RefSeq lists it as uncharacterized. The transcript has 2 exons. Lineage: Eukaryota; Viridiplantae; Streptophyta; Magnoliopsida; Fabales; Fabaceae. The record is from RefSeq and is a predicted model, not a curated record.
CUGAUUUGCUUCAUAGUGGAAGUGAAUCAUUAUAAACAGUUCUUCAAAAACAAAAAGAGGUUCGUAACAUCCACCCUGUUAUCUAAUAAUUUUGAGACCUCACUCUGGAGAGUGAGCCACUCAAAUUACACACUCUCUAUCAGGAAUUGCCACGUCAGCUUUUUUAACAAAAGAUAUCCUUCUCUCUUCAGAAGCUGUGUCCGUGGUACUCACGCGACUCAUUCUCAUCUCUGCUUCAUUUUCAUUGUCCACAACGUACUCCCUGAUUUUUCUCAUCUCUUUCACUCUCCCUCUCCCAAAUCGAUUCCCCUCAAUCAGCGAUUGCAUUUUCAAAUUUCAAACCCAUGAAAUCAGUCCCAAAUCUGAUUUGGUUCCCUCAAUCAGUUUUUUCGAUCAUUCACUCCAUAAAAUCUCGAAACCUUUUCACUCUCCCAAUUCCAAAAAUCAGUUCUCUCUAAAAUGGAUUUUAAUUCUGCAAUGCAAGAUUCCAUGGAUCAUAGGAUUCAUGAGGUUCACAACAGGCACAUCUCAUCUUGAAGAUAUCAGAAUGUUCCAAAAGACACAACCUUAGGUGUUUGGGCUCUCCAAUUUCAAUCUCUGAUGUCGCUUCACGUAUCUCUUUUGUUUCCUCAGGUUCUUGCCAAAAGUUGGAACUUUAGUGUUGUUUCUUCCUUAAAUUUGAUAACCUUCUCUGCUCCAUUGCCACUUAAGAUGGAAAACAAGACUUAUUCAAAGAAGAGUAAACGCGUGGAAAUGUUGACUUGAAUGUCCAUGACCAUGGCAUUAGAUCAUGUAAGCCAAAAUUUACAAUUGAUUUGUAUUGUUGAAUUGUAUUAUAAGAGUAUUUGAUUGGACUUCAGUGUCUAAUUGGUCGUUGGUUCUGUAAAAAGAAUAAUGCUGCUACAAAGUUUAGUAGCUUGAGGGUAUGUUUCACCUUGAACUGUCUACUUAAA